Mauremys mutica (yellowpond turtle) is the source of this 225-nucleotide long non-coding RNA. RefSeq lists it as uncharacterized. The record is from RefSeq and is a predicted model, not a curated record. The transcript is spliced from 3 exons. Lineage: Eukaryota; Metazoa; Chordata; Testudines; Geoemydidae.
AGAGAGCCCUGUACUGGGAUGUCAUGCAGGAGAACUAUGAGAAUGUGACCUCGCUGGGGUUUCUAGUUUUCCAACGUGAUGUGAUCUUCCAGCUGGAACAAGGGGAAGAGCCAGAGGUCCCAGACCUCCAGGAUUCAGAGGAAAGAGAUCCAGAGAUAUCCCUGCACAGGUGAUGCAAUGGCAUGUGAGAAAGAGGAGCAGAAUUCUCAGCCUGAAAAUGUUGAG